GCGUAUAAAACUCGAGGAUUAUAGAAUUUUAAAUUCUACGAGUGAAAUUUCAGGAUAAUAUUUUGAAGUUCUAUUUACAUGUGAAUUUUGAAUCUCAUGAUGAUGAUUAUUUUUCAAUUAUAGAGGUAGAAUUUGACUUGUGAGCGCUGUUUUUACUUUUUUUUUCUUUGUUUAUAUGUCCAAAAUAAAAAUGACAUUUUUAUAUACUAGUAUAUAAUUAUUAGAGUUUCACGUGUAAAAUUUACCAUCCUCUAAUGAUGGCUAUUUUUUAAAGACAUGAUUGAAAAAUGGCUAAUAAAUGUUAUUUUAGCAUUUUUCAUCUUACCCCUUGUAGUAUAUCAAAGUUUCUCAUUUUCUUGUUUAUGUUCUUAGUAUUUCUUUUCUUUUCUCUUUUUAAUUAUCAUUUGAUGUCCAUACAUGUAUCGGAGAUCGAUUAUACCCAAACACACAUUUUAGGGUUUAUUUCUGGAAGUGAUAGUGAUGCUUUCGGUAGGAAUUUUUUCAUUCUCAAAUAUUAAACUCGAGAUAUCUGAUGAAGAACUUAUUUUCUUAGUCAAACAAUAUUAUAUAAAAUUAAAUGAGAGUCGUGAAAAAAAAUAUCAUUUUAGAAAAUAAUAUUCAAUAUAUCUAGCAUUCC
RNAcentral lists this long non-coding RNA (637 nucleotides) under Solanum tuberosum (potato). Its description in RNAcentral is "long non-coding RNA (STUB_LNC008105)". The record is from RNAcentral. Lineage: Eukaryota; Viridiplantae; Streptophyta; Magnoliopsida; Solanales; Solanaceae.